AAAGUGUCAAAUCAGGACAUAGGUGAUUGUGUUCAUCAUUUACAGACUGUAUUUCCUGGGUCAAGCUGCUUAAUGCUUUCAACUUUUCUUUAGCCUCCUGAAAAUGGGGAACCAUACUUUCCACUUAUCCAAGCAUUUGCUCACGCAUUUAUCAAUCACGUAACACCUUUGAAUGCCAGGCCGACAACGGAAGAUAGGGUCCUGACUCACUAGAUGGUCUCAGGAGAGCAGAGAAUAAUGCUUCAUUUACAAUGUUGCUUCAAGAAUUAAAUAAAAUAAGGCAGUUAAAAAUAUUCUGUGAACCGAAUAGCACAUUAUGAAAAGAUAUUAACACUUCUUACUUUCUUAUAGCAAUUUCUAAAUGACUUAAUUUCUCUCAUCAAAAUAUCCCCCUUGUGUUGACCUAGACCAUCAGAUUGCAAAAUAAAGCCCUGAUGUAACUGAUGGGAUGAAGAACGUCGCAUGGACAUUAUAUUAGGGGCUGGGGCCACUGUUAGCAAUCCUGGCAGCAUGGUGUUCCUUCUUGACCAUUCAAGAUUCUGUCCAGUGUUUGGAAAAGGCACAGGUAAGGAGUCAAAAGACCUGGAUAUGGGCAUUGGGAUGGUAGUGGCAGCUACUAUGGAGUCCCAGGCUCACUCUGGGCUAAGCACUGUACUAAGUGUCUCACAGAUAUGUUCUCAGAUAACCCUUGUUGCAGAUAGAGUACUGUUUUAAUCCAUGCUUUACAGAGAAAUUGAAGUUUGAAGAGGCUAUGCAACUUACCUAAGCUUAUCUCUAGCAUUUAAUUGUGCAGGAAUCUCCAGCUGGUCACUCAAACUCUUUGGACUUCAUUUAUUUUACUGUCACAUGGAGACAAUAAUAAUACCUGCCUUGGAGAGUCACCAGGAAGAUUUAUGAAAAGGAUGCAGUGAAAGUAAGUAUUAAAGCCUACAAACUUGCAAUACGUGAUUAGAAAGACUCUGAUUUUCCAGAACAAAGUCUGGAGACAUAGAUUUCAAUUUCCUCUCUGUGUCUGCCCAUUCCAGAUUGCUGUCAGUUGAUGUAACAAAUGUUUUCUUUCUUUCCCUAAUCUUGGACAUUUUCUUAAUAGAUUAAGAGUAAUUACUCCCAAAUGGAUACAUGAAAGCCCAAUUUCUGCCUAACAUACAUCAAACCAUUCAUAAAUAUGCAUUUCUAUUUUAUUUAUUAUUCUUCAUUCAUCUAUUUCAAGUGAAAACAAACAAAUCCACUCUUUCCAAGUAUUAAAUGAUCUCAAUGCCAAAGGUGUUUUCCUGAACACUCUUCCAGCAGAGGGCACUAUUUCUCUAUAAAGAGGGUGGUCCUUAGUUUUCCAAACUGGGAUCGUCAGAUUUUGGGAUAAUUUUCUCAGAAGCUUUACAAAUAAAUUCAGACCCAAGAAUUAAGAAUUCUGGACAAUGCCAUUUGGGUUUACUUCUUUUUAAUUUAAUUUAGUUAAUUUAUUUAUUUUUAGAGACGGGGGUGUCAUCAUGUUGGCCAGGCUGGUCUCGAACUCCUGACCUCAGGCAAUCCACCCGCCUCGGCCUCCCAAAGUGCUGGGAUUACAGGCUUGAGCCACUGUGCCCUGCCGGGUUUACUUCUUGAAAAGAAUUUUCAGUUAGUGCAGAAAUGCUGAUUUUUGCCUUCUGCCAUAUGAGGUUAGCAGGUAUCUCCUUAUUUAGAAAUCACAGAAUGUGAGAGUUAGGGUCUUACAGAUCACUUAGCCCCAGAUCACAAAGAAGCUGCCUGCUGGCCAAAUUCAGCCCACAUUCAUAUUUUGUUUGCCUUCCACAAGUUUAUUAUUACUGUUACCAGACAACCAUUAGCCAGGAGGUGGCACAUACCAUAUAGAUUUCUUAGCAUAUCUUUAAAAAAUGAAUCAGAAGCUCUCACAAUGCAGAACCAACAGGACUCCAUGGUGACAACUGGCUGAGAUUCAAUAAAUUUACACC
RNAcentral lists this long non-coding RNA (1949 nucleotides) under Callithrix jacchus (white-tufted-ear marmoset). RNAcentral describes it as "lncRNA (ENSCJAG00000083132.1)". The record is from RNAcentral. Lineage: Eukaryota; Metazoa; Chordata; Mammalia; Primates; Cebidae.